CCUAACACAUGCAAGUCGGAAGGGGGAAGUUACGUUCGGGUAACUGACGACCGGCGGUACGGGUGACGUAACGCGUAUACAAUCUGUCCUUUCACGUGGGGAUACGACCCGAAGUAAAUUGGAUUAACUACCCAUAGUAUAGUAAUACGGCAUCGUGAUACUAUUAAAGCCUUGGUGGUGAAAGAUGAGUAUGCGUUCUAUUAGCUAGUUGGAGAGGUAACGGCUCCCCAAGGCGACGAUCAGUAGCGGGUCUGAGAGGAUGAUCCGCCACACUGGGACUGAGACACGGCCCAGACUCCUACGGGAGGCAGCAGUGGGGAAUUUUGGACAAUGGGCGCAAGCCUGAUCCAGCCAUGCCGCGUGUCUGAAGAAGGCCUUCGGGUUGUAAAGGACUUUUGUCAGGGAAGAAAAGGGCGGGGUUAAUACCCCUGUCUGAUGACGGUACCUGAAGAAUAAGCACCGGCUAACUAC
This 471-nucleotide ribosomal RNA is filed under the name uncultured bacterium. Its description in RNAcentral is "bacterial SSU rRNA". It matches the Rfam family "Bacterial small subunit ribosomal RNA", at positions 47 to 504 of the family's 1533-position model. The record is from RNAcentral.